This 497-nucleotide ribosomal RNA is filed under the name uncultured bacterium. Its description in RNAcentral is "partial 16S ribosomal RNA". It matches the Rfam family "Bacterial small subunit ribosomal RNA", at positions 28 to 507 of the family's 1533-position model. The record is from RNAcentral.
GAUGAACGCUGGCGGCGUGCCUAAUACAUGCAAGUCGAGCGAACAGACGAGGAGCUUGCUCCUCUGACGUUAGCGGCGGACGGGUGAGUAACACGUGGAUAACCUACCUAUAAGACUGGGAUAACUUCGGGAAACCGGAGCUAAUACCGGAUAAUAUAUUGAACCGCAUGGUUCAAUAGUGAAAGACGGUUUUGCUGUCACUUAUAGAUGGAUCCGCGCCGCAUUAGCUAGUUGGUAAGGUAACGGCUUACCAAGGCAACGAUGCUUAGCCGACCCGAGAGGGUGGUCGCCCAGCCGGGCGCUGAGGCUGAGCCCCGACACCUAGGGGGGGACGCAGUGGGGAAUCUUCCGGAAGGGGGGAGUGCCUAACGGAGGACCGCCGGCGAAGUCAUGAGGGUCUUAGGCUGCGAAAGCGCUGUAGUUAGGAGAGAUGAAAUGUUAAAGUAACCAUGAUGGUCUUGACGGUACCUAAUCAGAAAGCCCCGGCUAACUACGUG